GACGAACGCUGGCGGCGUGGAUUAGGCAUGCAAGUCGAACGGUAGGAUACCUUCGGGUAUCUGAGAGUGGCGAACGGGUGAGUAACACGUAGGUGAUCUACCCUCAAGAUUGGGACAACCCAGGGAAACUUGGGCUAAUACCGGAUGAAAGCAGCAGUGAUGUUGUUUGAAAGGUGGCGUAAGCUGCCGUUUGGGGAUGAGCCUGCGCUCUAUUAGUUAGUUGGCGGGGUAAAGGCCCACCAAGGCGAUGAUAGAUAGGCGGCCUUAACGGGUGGUCGCCCACACUGGGAUUGAGAUACGGCCCAGACUCCUACGGGAGGCAGCAGUCGAGAAUAGUCUACAAUGGCCGAAAGGCUGAUAGUGCGACACCGCGUGAACGAAGAAGCCCUUCGGGGUGUAAAGUUCUUUUAUAUGUGAGCAGUGCUUUCUAUGUGAACAGCAUGGGGAGAGAGAUAUUAGCAUAUGAAUAAGCAACGGCUAACUCCGUGCCAGC
Molecule: ribosomal RNA, 493 nt
Filed under: uncultured bacterium
Lineage: Bacteria
Description: bacterial SSU rRNA
Rfam family: Bacterial small subunit ribosomal RNA
Source: RNAcentral